GACUUCUCAACACGAAUACAAAGUUAGUUGGACUCUAAUGCAUAUACCGAACAAUGAGGAAAAAAUUGGGGACUUCUCAGCAUGAAUACGAAGUUAGUACACUCCAAUGCAUAUACCAAACAUCAAGGAAAAAAAUUGGGGACUUCUCAGCACGAAUACAAAGUUAGUUCGACUCUAAUGCAUAUACCGAACAUCAAGGAAAAAAUUGGGGACUUCUCGGCACGAAUACAAAGUUAGUUCGAUUCCAAUCAUAUAUCGAACAUCGAGAAAAAAAUUGGGGACCUUUUGGCACGAAUAUAAAGUUAGUUCGACUCCAAUACAUAUACCGAAUAUCGAGAAACAAAUUGGGGACUUCUCGGCACGAAUACAAAGUUAGUUCGACUCCAAUGCAUAUACCGAACAUCGAGAAAAAAAUUGGGG
This 420-nucleotide long non-coding RNA is filed under the name Capsicum annuum. RNAcentral describes it as "long non-coding RNA (CANN_LNC002361)". Lineage: Eukaryota; Viridiplantae; Streptophyta; Magnoliopsida; Solanales; Solanaceae. The record is from RNAcentral.